Molecule: ribosomal RNA, 463 nt
Filed under: uncultured bacterium
Lineage: Bacteria
Description: partial 16S ribosomal RNA
Rfam family: Bacterial small subunit ribosomal RNA
Source: RNAcentral
GAUGAACGCUGACAGAAUGCUUAACGCAUGCAAGUCUUUGGCGAAGCUGUGCUUGCACAGCCUAGCCAAGGCGGACGGGUGAGUAACGCGUAAGGAACUUGCCCUGCAGUCAGGGAUAACAGACGGAAACGACUGAUAAGACCUGGUAAAGUCAGGCGGACUCAUGUCCAGCCUGAUGAAAAGAGAUGCUGCAGGAGAGCCUUGCGUCCUAUUAGCUUGUUGGUGGGGUAACGGCCCACCAAGGCGAUGAUAGGUAGCCGGCCUGAGAGGGUGGACGGCCACAAGGGGACUGAGAUACGGCCCUUACUCCUACGGGAGGCAGCAGUGGGGAAUAUUGGACUAUGGGGGCAACCCUGAUCCAGCAAUUCUGUGUGCACGAUGAAGGUUUUCGGAUUGUAAAGUGCUUUCAGCAGGGAAGAAAAAAAUGACGGUACCUGCAGAAGAAGCGACGGCUAAAUACGUG